This 461-nucleotide ribosomal RNA is filed under the name uncultured bacterium. RNAcentral's name for it is "partial 16S ribosomal RNA". It matches the Rfam family "Bacterial small subunit ribosomal RNA", at positions 29 to 507 of the family's 1533-position model. The record is from RNAcentral.
ACGAACGCUGGCGGCGUGCUUAACACAUGCAAGUCGAACGGAAAGGCCCUUCGGGGUACUCGAGUGGCGAACGGGUGAGUAACACGUGGGUGAUCUGCCCUGCACUUUGGGAUAAGCCUGGGAAACUGGGUCUAAUACCGAAUAGGACCACGCGCUUCAUGGUGUGUGGUGGAAAGCUUUUGCGGUGUGGGAUGGGCCCGCGGCCUAUCAGCUUGUUGGUGGGGUAAUGGCCUACCAAGGCGACGACGGGUAGCCGGCCUGAGAGGGUGACCGGCCACACUGGGACUGAGAUACGGCCCAGACUCCUACGGGAGGCAGCAGUGGGGAAUAUUGCACAAUGGGCGCAAGCCUGAUGCAGCGACGCCGCGUGAGGGAUGACGGCCUUCGGGUUGUAAACCUCUUUCAAUAGGGACGAGGCGCAAGUGACGGUACCUAUAGAAGAAGCACCGGCCAACUACGUG